RNAcentral lists this ribosomal RNA (300 nucleotides) under uncultured Acidianus sp. Its description in RNAcentral is "bacterial SSU rRNA". It matches the Rfam family "Bacterial small subunit ribosomal RNA", at positions 496 to 795 of the family's 1533-position model. The record is from RNAcentral. Lineage: Archaea; Thermoproteati; Thermoproteota; Thermoprotei; Sulfolobales; Sulfolobaceae.
GCUAACGCCGUGCCAGCAGCCGCGGUAAUACGGAGGUUCCAAGCGUUAUCCGGAAUCAUUGGGUUUAAAGGGUCCGUAGGCGGCUUAAUAAGUCAGCGGUGAAAGUUUGCAGCUUAACUGUAAAAUUGCCAUUGAUACUGUUAGGCUUGAAUUAUUGUGAAGUAACUAGAAUAUGUAGUGUAGCGGUGAAAUGCUUAGAUAUUACAUGGAAUACCAAUUGCGAAGGCAGGUUACUAACAAUGGAUUGACGCUGAUGGACGAAAGCGUGGGUAGCGAACAGGAUUAGAUACCCCGGUAGUC